Molecule: long non-coding RNA, 1342 nt
Organism: Drosophila yakuba
Lineage: Eukaryota; Metazoa; Arthropoda; Insecta; Diptera; Drosophilidae
Exons: 3
Source: RefSeq, a predicted model, not a curated record
GUAAAACAAAACGUAACUUCAGUACACUACCUAUAGCACUCAUAGCCUCAAAUUAAAAUAUCAUAUACGCAAAUGGAUCCCGUCUUCAAGACUUUACGAAACCGAGUGGUGAUGUAUCAUACUCCAACGAAAAGGGCGUAUCAUCGCAGGACCGAAGAUCAGCCGAAUGCAGUCGUAUUGACUGGAGAUCCUGACACCUAUGAUACAGCUGAUAUCACCGGAGACUCAACAAAUCCUCCAGCUGUUCUCGAUAAUCAAUCUUACCAAAGUAUUGAACCCACUGAGUCCGUUAAAAAUGAAUCGCAUGAAACUGGAAGAUAUGUGUCCGUUCAAAAUGAAUCGAGUGAAACUGAAAGUGAUGAUAAUGAUCUCUCCAUUGUUUUUGACUCAAGAGAUCCCAUUGAAUAUUUGGACCUCACCGGCCAUUGGAAUCAAUAAUUUUCUUUGAACCCUAGUUGAACUUCGAACCCUUGGUGCAACAGAAAAAGAGGACAAAUUCCAUUAACUCCAGAUGUUCAGCGUAUUUCUCUUGAAAGGACAACUAGAAAUAUGAGUUACAUAAAACCUACAAAGGGAUUUAUCUACAAGGAGAUUUUUCAUGCUGAAGGCUUUGCUGCAUUUAUUGAUAAGCAAUUGAUGGUGUAUAUAUUUUUUAUCAGUGAUUUAUGCGAACAAAGCUCUUGUUCAUUUGAUGUUUAUUAUUUGUGUUAGUUCACUAUGCUGAAGUCAAAAUUUCCAUGCUCACAGUGCAAUUAAUUGCCGUUAAUAACAUGGACUUAACUUUAUAAAUAACUAGGUGGCUGCCACAUAAAUUUAUCAGAAAGUUGACCCCUCACCUCAGCGCCGCAAUGUAUGCAACAAGUUUUUGCAUUCGCACGCCGGCUGAGGCUUGUGAUGCGAUCCCAUAAAUUAAACUGGCUAAAACCGGAGAAAAGGAAGGCAAACGUCACCGAAACAGGAAAAAAGAAGCGCAUGGCCAGAGCAAACUCAGUCCGCAGAAGCCGCAAACAUGCAAACCCAAAAAAAAAGGGGGGCGACAUGGGCGUGGGAAGGGGGGACACCGGAUGCCAGGGAUAGAAUGCAGCACCAACUAAGCACGUGUCAAGAGUGCGGCCCAAGUUUUAAUUUGCCGGAGGCAUCCACUAACAUCCUAUGCCCCGAAUCGCCACUGGAAGAACUUCAAUGCAUUUAUAUAUGUACUUUAUAUUUUUUAAACAUAAUUAUUUCAGUUUCAAAACUACACACAUUACACAGGCAUAUAAGAAAUGCAUCUUGUUAGCUGAUUCACAAUCUAAAUCUGUUUACAAUCUAAAUCUGUUUCAUUAAAAUGUUGUUGCGAAUA